Molecule: ribosomal RNA, 492 nt
Filed under: uncultured bacterium
Lineage: Bacteria
Description: partial 16S ribosomal RNA
Rfam family: Bacterial small subunit ribosomal RNA
Source: RNAcentral
AGUGAACGCUGGCGGUAGGCCUAACACAUGCAAGUCGAACGGCAGCACAGUAAGAGCUUGCUCUUACGGGUGGCGAGUGGCGGACGGGUGAGGAAUACAUCGGAAUCUACUUUUUCGUGGGGGAUAACGUAGGGAAACUUACGCUAAUAUCGCAUACGACCUACGGGUGAAAGCAGGGGAUCUUCGGACCUUGCGCGAUUGAAUGAGCCGAUGUCGGAUUAGCUAGUUGGCGGGGUAAAGGCCCACCAAGGCGACGAUCCGUAGCUGGUCUGAGAGGAUGGUCAGCCACACUGGAACUGAGACACGGUCCAGACUCCUACGGGAGGCAGCAGUGGGGAAUAUUGGACAAUGGGCGCAAGCCUGAUCCAGCCAUACCGCGUGGGUGAAGAAGGCCUUCGGGUUGUAAAGCCCUUUUGUUGGGAAAGAAAAGCAGCAGGUUAAUACCCCGCUGUUCUGACGGUACCCAAAGAAUAAGCACCGGCUAACUUCGUG